CUGUGACCACUGCUGGAUCCGUACUCUGGUCUGAAUCCUCGAGAUUUGUGUUUAAAACCACCAUUCUUGUUGUUUCUACUUCUUCUUCUGUAAUGACUUUACCUCCACUAUCUGUGAUACCCAUGUAGGGAACACCUGAAGAACCCUCUUCUCUAUUCUUCUCUACACUUCUAUUGUCAUCUACUGUAUAGCUGAUUUCAAUCUGUCGAGCUCGAUUAACUACCACAUUGAAAGACUGAUCAGAUAUGAUGGCCAGAUUUGCAUACUUCCUGUCCAACCCCUUUAG
This 286-nucleotide unclassified non-coding RNA is filed under the name Hevea brasiliensis (rubber tree). Lineage: Eukaryota; Viridiplantae; Streptophyta; Magnoliopsida; Malpighiales; Euphorbiaceae. The record is from RNAcentral.